Molecule: ribosomal RNA, 499 nt
Filed under: uncultured bacterium
Lineage: Bacteria
Description: bacterial SSU rRNA
Rfam family: Bacterial small subunit ribosomal RNA
Source: RNAcentral
AUUGAACGCUGGCGGCAUGCCUUACACAUGCAAGUCGAACGCGAACGGGCUUCGGCCCAAGUAGAGUGGCGGACGGGUGAGUAAUGCGUGGGAAUCUACCCUCGAGCGGGGGACAACCCGGGGAAACCCGGGCUAAUACCGCAUACGUCCUACGGGAGAAAGCGGGCCUCUACACUAUGCUCGCACUCGAGGAUGAGCCCACGUCCGAUUAGCUAGUUGGUAGGGUAACGGCCUACCAAGGCCACGAUCGGUAGCUGGUCUGAGAGGAUGAUCAGCCACACUGGGACUGAGACACGGCCCAGACUCCUACGGGAGGCAGCAGUGGGGAAUAUUGGACAAUGGGCGCAAGCCUGAUCCAGCAAUGCCGCGUGUGUGAAGAAGGCCUGCGGGUUGUAAAGCACUUUCAGUGGGGAAGAACGGAUACGGGCCAAUACCCCGCAUCACUGACGUUACCCACAGAAGAAGCACCGGCUAACUCCGUGCCAGCAGCCGCGGUAAU